This 548-nucleotide ribosomal RNA is filed under the name uncultured Glomus. RNAcentral's name for it is "SSU rRNA". It matches the Rfam family "Eukaryotic small subunit ribosomal RNA", at positions 548 to 1098 of the family's 1831-position model. The record is from RNAcentral. Lineage: Eukaryota; Fungi; Glomeromycota; Glomeromycetes; Glomerales; Glomeraceae.
UUGGAGGGCAAGUCUGGUGCCAGCAGCCGCGGUAAUUCCAGCUCCAAUAGCGUAUAUUAAAGUUGUUGCAGUUAAAAAGCUCGUAGUUGAAUUUCGAGACCGGUCUACUGGUCGUGCUUUUGUACGUACUGGUUUUAUUGGUUUCUCCUUUCUGACGAACUAUAAUGCCAUUAAUUUGGUGUUAUGGGGAAUCAGGACUGUUACUUUGAAAAAAUUAGAGUGUUUAAAGCAGGCUCACGCUUGAAUACAUUAGCAUGGAAUAACGAAAUAGGACGUUUGAUUUUAUUUUGCUGGUUUCUAGGAUCGACGUAAUGAUUAAUAGGGAUAGUUGGGGGCAUUAGUAUUCAAUUGUCAGAGGUGAAAUUCUUGGAUUUAUUGAAGACUAACUACUGCGAAAGCAUUUGCCAAGGAUGUUUUCAUUAAUCAAGAACGAAAGUUAGGGGAUCGAAGACGAUCAGAUACCGUCGUAGUCUUAACCAUAAACUAUGCCGACUAGGGAUCGGAUGAUGUUAAUUUUUUAAUGACUCAUUCGGCGCCUUACGGGAAAC